This 307-nucleotide ribosomal RNA is filed under the name uncultured bacterium. Its description in RNAcentral is "partial 16S ribosomal RNA". It matches the Rfam family "Bacterial small subunit ribosomal RNA", at positions 506 to 809 of the family's 1533-position model. The record is from RNAcentral.
AGACAGCAGUCGCCGCGGGAAUACGUAGGUGGCAAGCGUUGUCCGGAAUUAUUGGGCGUAAAGGGCACGCAGGCGGUUUCUUAAGUCUGAUGUGAAAGCCCCCGGCUCAACCGGGGAGGGUCAUUGGAAACUGGGAAACUUGAGUGCAGAAGAGGAGAGUGGAAUUCCACGUGUAGCGGUGAAAUGCGUAGAGAUGUGGAGGAACACCAGUGGCGAAGGCGACUCUCUGGUCUGUAACUGACGCUGAGGAGCGAAAGCGUGGGGAGCGAACAGGAUUAGAUACCCCAGUAGUCCCUGUCUCUUAUAA